Molecule: long non-coding RNA, 1099 nt
Filed under: Homo sapiens (human)
Lineage: Eukaryota; Metazoa; Chordata; Mammalia; Primates; Hominidae
Description: HSALNT0204920
Source: RNAcentral
UACCAUACAUUUCAGAGGACUAAUCUUGGCUAUUAGACCUGCUUUGCCUAGACAACAGCUACUGGGAAUUUAUGCCUAUCCCACUGUUGGGCAGCCUGGCAGAACAGGCAAGGAUUUACUUUUACACCAGUAUGAAACUCAGUUAUCUUGCCUCCUGUAUGGACAAAUGCUAAGAUAUAAUUUAUAUCCCAGAGCUUCCCUCCAUGGUCAGGCCGAAGCUGGACUUGGCCUGAACUUGCACCCUUGCCUGGAGCUAUCACAUUCUUUACCAGUUUAUCUGAAAGCAUUUCUAUAGUAAACCGCUUGCACACUAAUCCUGGUCUCAUGAUCUGCUGCUGCAGAACUUAAGAUGGAUGAUAAAGAAGGCCAGUAGUCAUAGCCGUAUAAAUCCCAACAGAUUAAGUGAAUUUUCCAAAAUCAUGGCACCAGUGGAUGGUGGGUCAGAAAGUUGAGUCCUGAUCUUCUCUUUUAAAUGCAGAGUAUUGUAAAGCAAACAAACUAUAGCUUACAUAUCAUAUGAUCACAUCUGGAAUAUAAUUUCAUAUCUUCAAAGUGUCUUCAGAAUCAAUGUUUUCAUCGAAAAUUACAGAAUGCCACCUAAAAGGACUCGCAAAUAGGGUGCAAAGUAUAGAGAAAGACACGAGUCAAAAACUCAAGUUUCAGCCAAAAGAAAAUUGAACUGAAGUCAUCCCAAAUAAGCUACUAUCUCCACAAUUUCAGCCCUUGCUUUCAAAGAAAUUUUUGCAAGACUGCCAGUUGGAAUAAGUAAUUAACACUUCAGCUCAGCUCUGAAAGGGGAAAACAACUGUGGCAUACAAACUCCUGCCAAAGUCAGUUCUCUCACCCAGAAACUGCCUGAAAUACUCAUCAGGGUACUUUCAAUUUUGCUAAAAGAGAAAAGAAAAAAGGCAAAAUGAUCAAAAUGGAAGUUCACCGUCUUAUCCCUAUCAACUGUUAGACAAAAUUAAGAUGGAGAAAAUGAGUGCACCGAAGCAGCAUGUGUCAACAUGGAAGGAUUUCGCUGACGUUGUAUUGAGUGAAAAAUAGAAAGUUACAAAAGCAUAUGAGCAAUAUAAUAAAACUCAUUUCAAGGAUUAAG